ACUAACGCUGGCGGCGUGCCUAACACAUGCAAGUCGAACGCCGUAGCAAUACGGAGCGGCAGACGGGUGAGUAACACGUGGGAACGUACCCUUUGGUUCGGAACAACUCCGGGAAACUGGAGUUAAUACCGGAUAAGCCCUAUGGGGGAAAGAUUUAUCGCCGAAGGAUCGGCCCGCGUCUGAUAAGCUUGUUGGUAUGGUAACGGCCUACCAAGGCGACGAUCAGUAGCUGGUCUGAGAGGAUGAUCAGCCACACUGGGACUGAGACACGGCCCAGACUCCUACGGGAGGCAGCAGUGGGGAAUAUUGGACAAUGGGCGCAAGCCUGAUCCAGCCAUGCCGCGUGAGUGAUGAAGGCCUUAGGGUUGUAAAGCUCUUUCGCGCGCGACGAUAAUGACGGUAGCGCGAGAAGAAGCCCCGGCUAACUUCGU
This 431-nucleotide ribosomal RNA is filed under the name uncultured bacterium. RNAcentral's name for it is "bacterial SSU rRNA". It matches the Rfam family "Bacterial small subunit ribosomal RNA", at positions 29 to 506 of the family's 1533-position model. The record is from RNAcentral.